GCCGUAGGCAGAAAAAGAAGCGGAAGCAUUACCUUCACCCACUGCUUCACCCAACCGCGCUCCGGCGAUCGUAUACAAAAUAGUACAUCAAAAUGGAGGGGGUGGGGGCCCGUCUGGGCCGGUCGUCAACCCGUUAUGGGCCAGCGACGGUCUUCAGCGGACCGGUGAGGAAGUGGAAGAAGAGAUGGAUCACCGUCGCCACCCCCAACAACACCUCCGCGGCCAAAGCCAACGGCAACGCCGCCCGAUCCCGCCUUCUCCUCUAUAAGUGGGCUCCUGUCUCCUCCACGCCCGCCGACGGCGCUGCCCAACCGGAGGAACACCCGCCGAGGAACUUCCGAUACGUACCGGGGUGCAAACCUACACGAGUUGACCGUGGUGAGGCGUAAACGACAUUUGAAGAGCAUUUGAAGGCAAGCCGUGUCCAAAAGGCACAUGCCAUUUUUGAAGGAGUUUAUGAAGGCCCAAGACAUGGUCAGGCAUGAUCAUGCCAUUUUUGAAGGAGUUUAUGGAGACCUGUGACAUGACCAUGUCUUUUUGGCACGGUCGUGCCAAUCUUUGCUGGUCACUGAAGGUAUCAUGGCAUGACCUAUCUUUUUGAUACGGUCGUGUGAAAAUCUAGGAGAGGCACAGAACUUAUCACAGCAUGGUCGUAUCCUUUUGACACAGUUGUGCUUCGCGUGUUCAAACAUAUAGCUUCAGUUGUGUUUGUUGACACGACCGUGGCGUGAAUGUAAGGGUUUAAACCCCAGAUCACGGAUUGCGUCCCACUUCCACACGACCGUGCUACCUCAUUAUCUUCCCCUUCUUUCUCCUUUCUCCUUUCUCCUUUCUCCUUCACCUCUUUCAAAGACUUUUUCCCACCUCCCUUCUUUCACCUCCAUCUUCUCACUCCCAUCCAAAGAUUCUCAUCUCUGCUCUCUUCUCUUCUCAAGUGAGGGAUUCUCCCCUUGUUUUUUUUCCUUACACCCUAAAAACCCCUUAGGCUUGUUCUUUUAUCUUAAUAAGAUGUUGAAGCAUCCUUAAGAAGGGAGUUGGCUCACACAAAGAUGUGCAUCCAAAGUCAAGGGGAAAGAAAAGUCUAUAACUAAGGAAAAGCAAAGGGCACACUACGAAGAUUUCGGUUCUCGAAGAGCAAAAACAAGAGGAUGCUGAAAAGCUUCAUGAAACAUAUGAACCUAGUAAUGUUGACCUUUCAUCACAGAUAAACCGGAAUGUUUCUUCUGAUUUGAAACCUGGCAUGAAUGAUAUUUUAAUGGGAGAAUCAAUGGCGGCUUCAGACAUGGACCAAAAUUCAGCAGAUGAUAACAACCUAGCUAAUUUGGACUUGAAUUUGGGUUUGAAAGGUAUUGACAAUGAGAGGGAAACAAAAUCCAGAAAUGAAGGUGAUGCUGUGGAGAAAUUAAGCAUAGGUGAGGACAUUAAAAUUAAUGGAACAAAUUCAGAAGCAGCAAACUAGAUGAAGAGAAAAGCUGUCACCCCUGACCUAGAAAUGUGAGCGUGAUCAGUUAUGUUGGCUUUUUGCAUUCAUCAUUUGUUUAGCAAAGCUGCAAACUUAUGCUCUGAUUCUCAGUUUGCUGCUUUGAAUUGUGAUCCAUUUGUUGGUUACUGACAGCCAAACCAUUUCCUUCUUUCUCACUUCUGAUUGAAUUUGUAUCUUGUUAAUGAAACGGCUACGUCAUCAUCAUGUACCGAUGGAACCAUUUAACCAUGAAAAAAAAACUAUAUAACAUUUUGUCUUUA
This is an RNA transcript of Zingiber officinale, 1743 nucleotides long. RefSeq lists it as uncharacterized. The record is from RefSeq and is a predicted model, not a curated record. Lineage: Eukaryota; Viridiplantae; Streptophyta; Magnoliopsida; Zingiberales; Zingiberaceae. The transcript is spliced from 4 exons.